Molecule: ribosomal RNA, 914 nt
Filed under: Stenocarpella maydis
Lineage: Eukaryota; Fungi; Ascomycota; Sordariomycetes; Diaporthales; Diaporthaceae
Description: eukaryotic LSU rRNA
Rfam family: Eukaryotic large subunit ribosomal RNA
Source: RNAcentral
AUACCCGCUGAACUUAAGCAUAUCAAUAAGCGGAGGAAAAGAAACCAACAGGGAUUGCCCUAGUAACGGCGAGUGAAGCGGCAACAGCUCAAAUUUGAAAUCUGGCCUCGGCCCGAGUUGUAAUUUGCAGAGGAUGCUUCUGGCGCGGUGCCUUCCGAGUUCCCUGGAACGGGACGCCACAGAGGGUGAGAGCCCCGUAUGGUCGGACACCAAGCCUGUGUGAAGCUCCUUCGACGAGUCGAGUAGUUUGGGAAUGCUGCUCUAAAUGGGAGGUAAAUCUCUUCUAAAGCUAAAUACCGGCCAGAGACCGAUAGCGCACAAGUAGAGUGAUCGAAAGAUGAAAAGCACCUUGAAAAGGGGGUUAAAUAGUACGUGAAAUUGUUGAAAGGGAAGCACUUGUGACCAGACUUGGGCCGGGCGGCUCAUCAGGGGUUCUCCCCUGUGCACUCCGCCCGGCACAGGCCAGCAUCGGUUUUCGCGGGGGGACAAGACCGCCGGGAACGUAGCACCCUCCGGGGUGUGUUAUAGCCCGGCGGACGAUACCCCCGCGGGGACCGAGGUCCGCGCUCCGCAAGGAUGCUGGCGUAAUGGUCACCAGUGACCCGUCUUGAAACACGGACCAAGGAGUCGUCCAUUAGAGCGAGCGUUUGGGUGUAAAACCCGCACGCGUAAUGAAAGUGAACGCAGGUGAGAGCUUCGGCGCAUCAUCGACCGAUCCUGAUGUUCUCGGAAGGAUUUGAGUAAGAGUUUUAACGGACGGACCCGAAAGACAGUGAACUAUGCUUGUAUAGGGUGAAGCCAGAGGAAACUCUGGUGGAGGCUCGCAGCGGUUCUGACGUGCAAAUCGAUCGUCAAAUAUGAGCAUGGGGGCGAAAGACUAAUCGAACUGUCUAGUAGCUGGUUACCGCCGAAGU